ACGCUGGCGGCGUGCUUAACACAUGCAAGUCGAACGGAAAGGCCCUGCUUUUGUGGGGUGCUCGAGUGGCGAACGGGUGAGUAACACGUGAGUAACCUGCCCUUGACUUUGGGAUAACUUCAGGAAACUGGGGCUAAUACCGGAUAGGAGCUCCUGCUGCAUGGUGGGGGUUGGAAAGUUUCGGCGGUUGGGGAUGGACUCGCGGCUUAUCAGCUUGUUGGUGGGGUAGUGGCUUACCAAGGCUUUGACGGGUAGCCGGCCUGAGAGGGUGACCGGCCACAUUGGGACUGAGAUACGGCCCAGACUCCUACGGGGGGCAGCAGUGGGGAAUAUUGCACAAUGGGCGGAAGCCUGAUGCAGCAACGCCGCGUGCGGGAUGACGGCCUUCGGGUUGUAAACCGCUUUCGCCUGUGACGAAGCGUGAGUGACGGUAAUGGGUAAAGAAGCACCGGCUAACUACGUGCCAGCAGCCGCGGUGAUACGUACGGUGCGAGCGUUGUCCGGAUUUAUUGGGCGUAAAGGGCUCGUAGGUGGUUGAUCGCGUCGGAAGUGUAAUCUUGGGGCUUAACCCUGAGCGUGCUUUCGAUACGGGUUGACUUGAGGAAGGUAGGGGAGAAUGGAAUUCCUGGUGGAGCGGUGGAAUGCGCAGAUAUCAGGAGGAACACCAGUGGCGAAGGCGGUUCUCUGGGCCUUUCCUGACGCUGAGGAGCGAAAGCGUGGGGAGCGAACAGGCUUAGAUACCCUGGUAGUCCACGCUGUAAACGGUGGGUACUAGGUGUGGGGUCCAUUCCACGGGUUCCGUGCCGUAGCUAACGCUUUAAGUACCCCGCCUGGGGAGUACGGCCGCAAGGCUAAAACUCAAAGGAAUUGACGGGGCCCCGCACAAGCGGCGGAGCAUGCGGAUUAAUUCGAUGCAACGCGUAGAACCUUACCUGGGUUUGACAUGGAUCGGGAGUGCUCAGAGAUGGGUGUGCCUCUUUUGGGGUCGGUUCACAGGUGGUGCAUGGCUGUCGUCAGCUCGUGUCGUGAGAUGUUGGGUUAAGUCCCGCAACGAGCGCAACCCUUGUUCACUGUUGCCAGCACGUUAUGGUGGGGACUCAGUGGAGACCGCCGGGGUCAACUCGGAGGAAGGUGGGGAUGACGUCAAGUCAUCAUGCCCCUUAUGUCCAGGGCUUCACGCAUGCUACAAUGGCUGGUACAGAGAGUGGCGAGCCUGUGAGGGUGAGCGAAUCUCGGAAAGCCGGUCUCAGUUCGGAUUGGGGUCUGCAACUCGACCUCAUGAAGUCGGAGUCGCUAGUAAUCGCAGAUCAGCAACGCUGCGGUGAAUACGUUCCCGGG
This 1338-nucleotide ribosomal RNA is filed under the name uncultured bacterium. Its description in RNAcentral is "16S ribosomal RNA". It matches the Rfam family "Bacterial small subunit ribosomal RNA", at positions 33 to 1378 of the family's 1533-position model. The record is from RNAcentral.